GCACUAGUAGCUCAGUCUCAGAGCGUCGGUUUUGUAAUCCGAAGGCCGGAGGUUAAAUUCCUCCCUACUGCU
Molecule: transfer RNA, 72 nt
Filed under: Rhabdosargus sarba (goldlined seabream)
Lineage: Eukaryota; Metazoa; Chordata; Actinopteri; Spariformes; Sparidae
Description: tRNA-Thr
Rfam family: tRNA
About the family: Transfer RNA (tRNA) molecules are approximately 80 nucleotides in length. Their secondary structure includes four short double-helical elements and three loops (D, anti-codon, and T loops). Further hydrogen bonds mediate the characteristic L-shaped molecular structure. tRNAs have two regions of fundamental functional importance: the anti-codon, which is responsible for specific mRNA codon recognition, and the 3' end, to which the tRNAs corresponding amino acid is attached (by aminoacyl-tRNA synthetases). tRNAs cope with the degeneracy of the genetic code in two manners: having more than one tRNA (with a specific anti-codon) for a particular amino acid; and 'wobble' base-pairing, i.e. permitting non-standard base-pairing at the 3rd anti-codon position.
Source: RNAcentral